Globicephala melas (long-finned pilot whale) is the source of this 4666-nucleotide non-coding RNA. Lineage: Eukaryota; Metazoa; Chordata; Mammalia; Artiodactyla; Delphinidae. The record is from RefSeq and is a predicted model, not a curated record.
CGCGGCCCGAGCCGGUCCCGAGCCGCCGGUCCGCCGGGCUGAGUCUGUAGGCGCCGUAUCCGUGGGCGCCUCGCCCGGCCGGGCCCAUGUGCGCGCGGCCCGCCCCAGGCCGCCCGGGCUUCGCCUCCGCCCGCGCCCUGGCCUCCAGCCGGGCCUCCGAGGAGCCGCCGCGACGCCCGGCCCGCGGGGCAGGUGAGGAGAUUAUAAGUCUACUGAAUGAAAAAAUUUUUCUUAAAGUUGCAUAUACUCCAAGAGAAAAUCCCAAAUGUUUUUAUAUUUUGCCUAAAUACAAAAUUUAAACAAGGAGUUUCCCCAGAAGUCAGGAGACUGAGGAGAAAGUGUGCCAGCCCCUGUUCUGGGCUCCUCAUGGGGUAGCUCAGUUCAGCCUCACAGCAGCUCUACGUGGACGGCGCUCCUGGUCCCCCGUUUACAGCUCUGUGGCCGUCACCAUGUUCUGGAAGUUUGACUUGAGCACCACGUCCCACGUCGACAAGCUGCUGGAUAAGGAGGACGUGACGCUGCGAGAGUUAAUGGAUGAAGAUGACAUCUUGCAGGAGUGCAAGGCCCAGAACCGGAAGCUGCUGGACUUCCUGUGCAGGCAGCAGAGCAUGGAGGAGCUGGUGAGCCUCGUCACACAGGACCCGGCCCUGGGCGUGGAAGAGAAGGUCCGCUUCAAGUACCCAAACACAGCCUGUGAGCUGCUGACGUGUGACGUGCCGCAGAUCAGUGACAGACUGGGAGGGGACGAGACUUUGCUCAACCUUCUUUACGACUUCUUGAACCGUGAGCCGCCUCUCAAUCCUCUCCUCGCCAGUUUUUUCAGCAAGACCAUCGGCAGUCUCAUCGCAAGAAGAACUGCACAGGUGAUUGUGUUCUUGAGGAAGAAGGACAAGUUCAUCAGCCUGCUGUUGAAGCACAUCGGCACCUCGGCCCUCAUGGACCUGCUGCUGCGCCUGGUCAGCUGCGUAGAGCCCGCCGGGCUCCGGCAGGAGGUCCUGCAUUGGCUUAAUGAAGAGAAGCUCAUCCAGAGGCUCGUGGAAUUGAUCCACCCGAGUCAGGAUGAAGAUAGGCAGUCCAACGCUUCGCAGACGCUCUGCGACAUCGUCAGGCUGGGCAGGGAGCAGGGCAGCCCGCUGCAGGAAGCUCCAGAGCCAGACCCCCUCCUCAUGGCGCUGGAGUCGCAGGACUGCGUGGAACGGCUGCUGAGGAACAUGUUUGACGGAGCCCAGACCGAGCUCUGCCUCGUCAGCGGGACCCAGGUGCUACUGACCUUGCUUGAGCCCCGGCGGGCGGGUCCUGUCUCUCAGCCGAGGAGUGGGGUCGACAGUGAAGGUUUUCAAGGUGGGAGGAGGGAGCAGAGCUGCUUCGAGGGUGUGACGCCCACAGCCCGUCAGGGCCAUCACCUGGGCACGGCCCCCACCCCCAUACGGAUGGAGGGCUUGCUGGACUCCUGCUCUCAGGGACUGGACAGGCUGUGUGCCGUCAGCUCCGGCGUCCUGCGCGGCAUCGAGCCACGGCUGAAGGACUUCCACCAGCUUCUGCUCAGCCCGCCAAAGAAAGCAGCGAUCCUGACCACCAUUGGCGUGCUGGAGGAGCCCCUGGGUAACGCCCGCCUGCACGGAGCUCGCCUCGUGGCCGCCCUGCUGCACACGAACACGCCCAGCAUCAACCAGGAGCUCUGCCGGCUCAACACCAUGGGCUUGCUGCUGGACCUGUUUGUUAAGUACGCCUGGAAUAACUUCCUGCACUUCCAAGUGGAGCUGUGCAUAGCCGCCAUCCUGUCCCACUCUGCCCGGGAGGACAGGGCCGUGGCCAGCGGACCUGAGGGCGCGGUGGAGCCUCUGCCUUCCAGCGGGGACCCGGAGACCCCCCAGCCUGCCGCCAGCCGCCCUGAGAGCACAAUGGUGACCCACCUGUUCCAGAAGUGUUGCCUGGUCCAGAGGAUCCUGGAGGCCUGGGAAGCCAAUGACCACACACAGGCAGCGGGUGGCAUGAGGCGCGGGAACAUGGGCCAUCUCACCCGGAUCGCCAACGCAGUGGUGCAGAGCCUGGAGGGGGGCCCCGUGCAGACCCAGGUCAGCGAGGUCCUCCGAGGGCUCCCCUCGGAUUGCCGCGGGCGCUGGGAGAGCUUUGUGGAGGAGACGCUGACGGAGGCCAACCGCAGGAACGCGGUGGACCUGGUUAGCACGCACCAUCUUCACCCCUCGAGUGAGGACGAGGACAUGGAGGGCGUUUUCCCUAACGAGCUGUCCCUUCAGCAGGCUUUCUCCGAGUACCAGGUCCAGCAGAUGACGGCCACCUUCGUGGACCAGUUCGGCUUCAGCGACGAGGAGUUUGCUGAGCAGGACGACAGCGUCAACGCCCCAUUUGACAGGAUAGCGGAGAUCAACUUCAGCGUCGACGCUGACGAGGACAGCCCCGGUGCCGCUCUGUUUGAGGCCUGCUGCAGUGACCACAUCCAGCCUUUUGACGAGGACGACGACCUCUGGGAGGACGAGGAGACACACUGUGUGGCCCGAGUGACCAGAGCCAGGUUCGGGGGCCCUCACGCUUCAGAGAGCUGCCGGAAGGACGGCCUGGAGCACCGAGGCCAAGGUGGGGAGGAGAGCUCGGAAGCAGACGGGGCUCGGGCGGGCGCCCCUCGGGCUGCCGUCCAGGAGGAAGGUCCUCGUGUUGAGGGUGGCUCAGAAGCAGGCUCCCCCUGGACGGUGUCUGAUGAGCCAGUGAAUUCCACGGCCUCAGGCCUGGCCCCGGCAGUGGCGAUGGACGUGGGUUCCAGUGUGUGGGCGGCCAGCGCGCCCAGCGCCUCGGCUGCGGAGGAGAGAGGCUGGGCCAAGUUUGCCGACUUCCAGCCUUUCUGCUGCUCUGAGUCGGGGCCCAGGUGCAGCUCCCCCGUGGACAGAGGUCACGGCGAUGCCCAGGGUGGCCUGAACCGGGGCCCAGAGAGAACCCCUGGCCCGGCCACUCUGGGUGCCUGGAACGCAUGUGUUGCCAGGAAGGCGCCCCUGGUGGCCUCCAGCAGCCGAGAGGACAAGCAGAAGGUGGCUUUGGCCUCGGAGGCUGUGAGGAUGGGUCCCGGUCGGGAGGCUCCCCCGCCGCCAGUGUUAGUCCCCAGGUGAGCAGGACAGGCUGGGUGGCGGGCCCCCGGGUGCAAACGGAGGUCUGGCUGUCCGCAGCACUCCGCUGGCCCAGGGGCAGGCCGACCCUCCUGUCCUGAUGGCCCCGUGACUCCUUGGAGGUCAGCUUUGGACAGGAGGGACACUGCUUUGUCCAGGUGGAAGCUGGGGUGACCGUUGAGACAGCACGGGGCCAGCCCGCCUCAGGCCGCGUCGGAGAGAAUGGCCAGGCUUUUGGGGUUCCGGGUGGGCUCUGGAGCUGCCGCUCUCCUGGGGCGGGUGCCUAGUCCCAGACUUGCGCCCACCUCAGUCGGGCGCCUCGGACACACGUGUCCAUCACGCUGGACCGGGAGGACGGGGGUGUUUUGGGACUUUGCUUGGGGCCCUGACCUGGGUCGUCCUCCCUGCAGGCUUGGCCCGUGCACCCCACCCCUGCGCCCAGGGGGCAGGUCCGGGCCUCUGGGGUCGGCUGGUGGACACAUGCCUCCUGGUUGGGCGGGUGGGCAGCGUGAGGAACCGCGUGCGGUGAAGACGGAACGGGGCAGGAGGGCUGGUGGGACGUGAGGGAGAAGGUGGUGCUGGGGUCAAGGCCUGAAGGGGCUGGGGGGGGGGCCGGGGGGCCAGGCCAGACCCCCACGAGGGGACGAGGAACAGAGACUGACCGUGCUGCUCCCGUGAGGUCCCCACCCAGUGACCCUGGAGCGUCCCUGCUGACGCUGGGGGUCCAGUCUAGCUCCCAGGACCCCAGGGUGCGCCCGUCCCCGCUGGCGCCCUGCACUGGGGCUCGGGGCAGUGGGCACAGCCUGGAGGGAGCAGGGUCAAGCUGCACAGUGCGUGUCGGGGGAGGGGCGGUUCACGCCGCCGCUGCAGGGUGGGGCGAGCUUGACGCCUGGGCCCGGGGAGAACCUCAGCGCUGGGGUAAAGGUGUACACGCGGCUCCCAAACGGUUUGAUUCCUUCUUGAAGCUUAGGGUCAUCGAAAUUUUUAAAACCUUUUCCUCUUCCUAACUCCCCGUUCCCCCAAAACCCACCCGGCUCCGAGAAGCAGUUGUUGUUCCGGAAGCAAAGCCUUUUGGUCCUCAGGGCGGUCUUCGCGAGCCUUGGCCAUUGUGGGGGGACACGCGGGGCUCGUCUCCAGGCUCUGCCCUCACUGGCUCGCGAGGGUCAGUGCCGGGCUGGAGGAGACGUCACACAGCAGAAGCAGGCGCUGGGCAGGUGUGGGCUGGUGGGGGCACCGUGGGCUUGCUCUCUGGGCCCCCAGACCAGAGCUGAGUGCCAGGGCUGGGUGUCCCGAGGCCGCCUGCCUCCCGCACUCAGCCUUUCUAGGUGUGGGCGGCGGGAGUGUUGUGGACAGACGUGGCCUGAGAGGUGUUCCAGGGAAGGGCCUUGGGCCUGUGUGGUCCACAGAGCGGUCUGAGUGCGCCACCAGCACGCCUCCAGACCUGGCCUCCCUUGCGCCUGUGGAAGUGACCUCUGCCCCAGUCGGGGCCGUCCUCCCCGAGGCUGCCGUGGCGGCCACCACAGUACCGGGCAACACCGGCCCCGCCUCGG